GCUCCGGGCUCCGGCACAGAGGGACCGGCGCUGCCCCAACCGCCAACUCCAGCAUCCGCCACCGUCGGUGCCACGGUGACCAGCCCUGCUGGGAAACGGGGCACCGAGCCUCCCCGGGGAGGGUGGCCGGGGGGCAGCCGGGCGAUGGUGACGGCAGCCGUGCCGCCCCGCUCCUCCCCACGGGCACCCGGUGGGAGCCCACGCGCCGGGUCCCUCCUCACAAGCCCUCCUGGGCUCCGCCGUCACCCCAGCCUUCGAGGGGGGGGACAGGUCAGUCCCAAACAACCGCCCCACGGCCACCGGGAGCUCUCCCAGCCCCACGGCUCCGCGCCAGCCCCGUGCCACUGGCUCCACGCCCCCCCCAGCCAUCGGCACCCCAACCAGAUGCUCUGCCACGAGCCAGCCCGGCCACCCCAGGGCUACCUCCCCACGUCACCGGUGGCCCUGGCUGCCGGGCGCCAUCCAGCACAGGCGGCGGUGACGUGACCUAGAAAAAGCCAAGGGUUGUUCACACACACGCUGCGCUGCCAUGAGCCCCCGGCGCCCACCACACGGGCACACGCGGGGCACACGCACCCUGCACGCCGGCCACGGGCAAAACCUCCCCCUGCUUCAACAAGUGACCUGCGUGGGCACACGCGUGGGGACACGUGGCACCGUGAACCCCAAGGCUCCUGGGUCCCCCGGGAUGGCAAGCAGCUCCCCCCCCCACCGCCCCGCUCCGGCUGCCACCUGCACGCCGCACGUGCCCGCACCGGCACACGCUGGGCGCCCACGUGUGCCCUCGCUUGCACGCCCACGGUCCCCGGGUGCUGCUGCUCGCCCCAGCGGGAUGGCCGUGGCAUGGGGGGGGGGAUGUCCCCCCACAGCCCUCCACGCUGGCACCGAACAAAGCCCCCACGCAGGGGGAGAGCUGCGAAACCACCCGCCUGCUGCCGGGGCGCUGCCAACACGCCUGCCCACGCCGCCCGGUGCCUGCCGGUCCCCCGGGGCCCUGGCCAGGGGUGACGGACGGCGUGGGGACCCCAACCCGCCCUGCACCCACGCGUGGCGGGCUGGGGGCACACGUGUGCCCGGUACCGGGGGCUGGCAGAGAUGCCAGCAGGCAGCCUGGCACCCGCGGCCUCGCUGUAUGACACACCGCGGCGCUACACGUGUGUGCCCAGCCACACGCGUGUGCCCACCGACACGCGUGCAGCCCUUCCACCCUGGGGCUGCCGGAGCCCCCGGCACCGCUGGAGAGGAGGGGGGACCCGCACCCCCGGGGAGGGGGAUGAGCACGCCGGGGGGUACGGGCAGCCCCCGGAGAAGGGGACCGGCAUCCCGGGGAGGGGACCGGCAGCCCCGGAGGAGGGGAGCGGCAGCCCCCGGUCACGCCGCCGCUCUCAGCCCAGCCCCGGUUCCGAGCCCGCCCCGCCGCCGCCGCAGCCCCGCGCAACUUCCAGGCAGGGCCGCCCCGGGGACGCCGCUUCCCGCACCGGCCACCGAGCACCGGCCAACCCCCGGUACCGCGGCUGCAAACUCCCCGGCCCCGCAACCCCGCCGCCGGAGCAGAAAUCAGGGACAGGAGGGAAUCACCGAGGUGGCAGCUCCUCCCUGCUUGGCCCUGGAUGAGGAUUCAGGGAAGAGAGCGAGUCCAGCUCCCGGCCAGGGGGAUGUGGGGGUGCUGCAACCAGCCCCCGACCUCCCAUAG
RNAcentral lists this long non-coding RNA (1693 nucleotides) under Calidris pugnax (ruff). RNAcentral's name for it is "lncRNA (ENSCPUG00000018365.1)". The record is from RNAcentral. Lineage: Eukaryota; Metazoa; Chordata; Aves; Charadriiformes; Scolopacidae.